RNAcentral lists this ribosomal RNA (478 nucleotides) under uncultured bacterium. Its description in RNAcentral is "partial 16S ribosomal RNA". It matches the Rfam family "Bacterial small subunit ribosomal RNA", at positions 28 to 507 of the family's 1533-position model. The record is from RNAcentral.
GAUGAACGCUGGCGGCGUGCCUAACACAUGCAAGUCGAACGGAGUCCAGCCUUUAAGACCUUCGGGUCAAAGAGGGGAAGACUGAGUGGCGGACGGGUGAGUAACACGUGGGCAACCUGGCUCAUAGAGGGGGAUAACAGAGAGAAAUUUCUGCUAAUACCGCAUAAGCACACACUGCCGCAUGGCAGAGGGUGAAAAGAGAAUCGCUAUGAGAUGGACCCGCGUCUGAUUAGCCAGUUGGCAGGGUAAGAGCCUACCAAAGCGACGAUCAGUAGCCGAUCUGAGAGGAUGAACGGCCACAUUGGGACUGAGACACGGCCCAAACUCCUACGGGAGGAAGCAGUGGGGGAUAUUGCACAAUGGGGGGAACCCUGAUGCAGCGACGCCGCGUGAGUGAAGAAGUAUUUCGGUAUGUAAAGCUCUAUCAGCAGGGAAGAUAAUGACAGUACCUGAAUAAGAAGCCCCGGCUAACUACGUG